GUUGUGUUGUUGGUCAUAAUCCAACUGAAGACUUUGUCGGGCGUAAACUUCCUUCUGUACAAGAGGCUAUGUCGGUAUACCUCCAUUACAAACCAAAUUUCAAAUUACAACGAAUGGAGAGUCUUUCAAUUACCAUUGAUAAUGUUUGAGAAAAGUGGUCACAAGCGGAAAUCCCAAAGUGUGGAAAAGAUUAUGCAGUCAAUAAACUUUCUAACUUCUUAGGCCAAGUGAAAAAUUCACAAAAAAGUUCCAAGUGUAGACGAUCAAAGACUCAGAAGCAGAAGGAGUCAAAUUUUGGUCAAAAAUUGAAAAAUUUAUUCGACAUUGCUAAAUUUAUUAACGACGAUCAAAAGUUAUUCCUGGCCGGUCAAAGAUCAAAAAGUCGAUUUGGAUUAAUUGACAAUAUUUUAAAAUCAAAAGAAAUCCAUGAAGAUAUGAUUGUUAAUUGUGGUGAUGUAGGUGAGGUUGAAAGUAAUUUGUUAUUAGCCGCUCAAAAAUCUGGAAUAGUUUAAUCUGACUUAUCAGCAACUACGUCUAGUCAAACGUCGAACCCAGUAACUGAUUUUAAAAUUCCGAUUAGGCAACCAAAGAAAAUGAAUAUCAUUACACCCGAAUUCGCUGGAGCACUCGAUCAAGGAAAAUUAUAGUACACUUCAUCGUGAGCGUGUUAAAUUCAGAACAAACAUCGCAGAAGAUUUAAAAAAAAAGAAUUCCGUACAGAAGACCGUUUUGUUGUGCAUUGGGACGGUUAAGUUGUAUGCGAUAUUUCUGACAAUAAAUCUUUUGAUCGUAUUGCUAUUCUUCUAUACGUUGCUGGAGUUGAUCAGCUUCUUGCAGUUCCAAAAGCUGAAAGUGGGAUAUCACAUCAACAGGCUUCUGCUGUUAUUUCUACUUUGAACCUAUGGAACGUUGCUCUGUACGUAAAAGUGAUGUGUUUCGACACGCCAAUACUGAGUUAAACCGGAAGUUAAUGUGGCUCCCAUGCUGCCAUCACAUAAUGGAAAUUAUUUUGCGGGGAGUUUUUGAAGUAUAUUGGAAUACGAUAUCUGGUCCUAAUAUAUCGAUAUUUGGUCGUUUUAAAAACUCUUGGGACAAACUUGAUCAGUCAAAAUAUAAAAGUGGAAUGGACGAUGAAACUGCGCAAACAUCUUAACCAAUGAACGUGAUGAAAUUGUCACAUUUAUUAACGAU
Molecule: long non-coding RNA, 1191 nt
Organism: Cotesia glomerata
Lineage: Eukaryota; Metazoa; Arthropoda; Insecta; Hymenoptera; Braconidae
Exons: 4
Source: RefSeq, a predicted model, not a curated record